RNAcentral lists this small RNA (100 nucleotides) under Sphingomonas sanxanigenens DSM 19645 = NX02. RNAcentral's name for it is "Repression of heat shock gene expression (ROSE) element". It matches the Rfam family "Repression of heat shock gene expression (ROSE) element". Rfam says of the family: This family represents a 5' UTR cis-regulatory element found in heat shock mRNAs and is known as the ROSE (repression of heat shock gene expression) element. Lineage: Bacteria; Pseudomonadati; Pseudomonadota; Alphaproteobacteria; Sphingomonadales; Sphingomonadaceae. The record is from Rfam by way of RNAcentral.
CCGAACGCCAUAGCGGUUCGGCUGGGACUAGAGGGCGCCGGCUCUCUCUCCGGCGCAUCUCAUGCCCGAAUUGCUCAUGCAGAGGAUUUGGAUAUGAGGA